AUUAAUUCGAUGCAACGCGAAGAACCUUACCAAGGCUUGACAUACACCAGAACACCGUAGAAAUACGGGACUCUUUGGACACUGGUGAACAGGUGGUGCAUGGUUGUCGUCAGCUCGUGUCGUGAGAUGUUGGGUUAAGUCCCGCAACGAGCGCAACCCUCGUUCUAUGUUGCCAGCACGUAAUGGUGGGAACUCAUGGGAUACUGCCGGGGUCAACUCGGAGGAAGGUGGGGAUGACGUCAAAUCAUCAUGCCCCUUAUGUCUUGGGCUUCACGCAUGCUACAAUGGCCGGUACAAAGGGCUGCAAUACCGUGAGGUGGAGCGAAUCCCAAAAAGCCGGUCCCAGUUCGGAUUGUAGUCUGCAACUCGACUACAUGAAGUCGGAGUCGCUAGUAAUCGCAGAUCAGCAACGCUGCGGUGAAUACGUUCCCGGGUCUUGUACACACCGCCCGUCAAGUCAUGAAAGUCGGUAACACC
This 477-nucleotide ribosomal RNA is filed under the name Microbacterium sp. RNAcentral's name for it is "bacterial SSU rRNA". It matches the Rfam family "Bacterial small subunit ribosomal RNA", at positions 945 to 1421 of the family's 1533-position model. Lineage: Bacteria; Bacillati; Actinomycetota; Actinomycetes; Micrococcales; Microbacteriaceae. The record is from RNAcentral.